AAAGGAUUAGUUAAACCAUAAUAUAAGAUUGUCAGUCUUACGUCACUAACUCCGCCUUAGUAUCUUUUA
This 69-nucleotide transfer RNA is filed under the name Littorina brevicula. Its description in RNAcentral is "tRNA-Asp". Lineage: Eukaryota; Metazoa; Mollusca; Gastropoda; Littorinimorpha; Littorinidae. The record is from RNAcentral.